This 553-nucleotide ribosomal RNA is filed under the name uncultured bacterium. RNAcentral's name for it is "partial 16S ribosomal RNA". It matches the Rfam family "Bacterial small subunit ribosomal RNA", at positions 355 to 898 of the family's 1533-position model. The record is from RNAcentral.
UAGGGAAUCUUCCACAAUGGACGCAAGUCUGAUGGAGCAACGCCGCGUGAGUGAAGAAGGUUUUCGGACCGUAAAGCUCUGUUGUUGGUGAAGAAGGAUAGAGGUAGUAACUGGCCUUUAUUUGACGGUAAUCAACCAGAAAGUCACGGCUAACUACGUGCCAGCAGCCGCGGUAAUACGUAGGUGGCAAGCGUUGUCCGGAUUUAUUGGGCGUAAAGCGAGCGCAGGCGGAAGAAUAAGUCUGAUGUGAAAGCCCUCGGCUUAACCGAGGAAUUGCAUCGGAAACUGUUUUCUUGAGUGCAGAAGAGGAGAGUAGAACUCCAUGUGUAGCGGUGGAAUGCGUAGAUAUAUGGAAGAAUACCAGUGGCGAAGGCGGCUCUCUGGUCUGCAACUGACGCUGAGGCUCGAAAGCAUGGGUAGCGAACAGGAUUAGAUACCCUGGUAGUCCAUGCCGUAAACGAUGAGUGCUAAGUGUUGGGAGGCUUCCGCCUCUCAGUGCUGCAGCUAACGCAUUAAGCACUCCGCCCCGGGGGAGUACGACCGCAAGGUUGAA